UUAGUGGCGGACGGGUGAGUAACGCGUGGAAAACCUGCCGUAUACUGGGGGAUAACACUUAGAAAUAGGUGCUAAUACCGCAUAAGCGCACAGCUUCGCAUGAAGCGGUGUGAAAAACUCUGGUGGUAUACGAUGGUUCCGCGUCUGAUUAGUUAGUUGGUGGGGUAAUGGCCUACCAAGGCAACGAUCAGUAGCCGGCCUGAGAGGGUGAACGGCCACAUUGGGACUGAGACACGGCCCAAACUCCUACGGAAGGCAGCAG
This 262-nucleotide ribosomal RNA is filed under the name uncultured bacterium. RNAcentral describes it as "partial 16S ribosomal RNA". It matches the Rfam family "Bacterial small subunit ribosomal RNA", at positions 92 to 354 of the family's 1533-position model. The record is from RNAcentral.